RNAcentral lists this transfer RNA (65 nucleotides) under Acuticosta chinensis. RNAcentral's name for it is "tRNA-Met". The record is from RNAcentral. Lineage: Eukaryota; Metazoa; Mollusca; Bivalvia; Unionida; Unionidae.
AGUAGGAUAAGCUAAGACAAGCUGUUGGGCUCAUAACCCAAAAAUAGAUAACCCUCUUCCUACUA